RNAcentral lists this ribosomal RNA (269 nucleotides) under uncultured bacterium. RNAcentral's name for it is "partial 16S ribosomal RNA". It matches the Rfam family "Bacterial small subunit ribosomal RNA", at positions 1223 to 1500 of the family's 1533-position model. The record is from RNAcentral.
UGUUACAAUGGCAGGUACAGAGGGAUGCUACCGGGCGACCGGAUGCGGAUCUCGAAAGCCUGUCCCAGUUCGGACUGGAGUCUGCAACCCGACUCCACGAAGUUGGAUUCGCUAGUAAUCGCGCAUCAGCCGUGGCGCGGUGAAUACGUUCCCGGGCCUUGUACACACCGCCCGUCAAGCCAUGGGAGCCGGGGGCGCCUGAAGUCCGGGACCGCGAGGACCGGCCUAGGGCGAAACUGGUAACUGGGGCUAAGUCGUAACAAGGUACC